This 378-nucleotide unclassified non-coding RNA is filed under the name plant metagenome. RNAcentral's name for it is "partial contains 5.8S ribosomal RNA, internal transcribed spacer 2, and large subunit ribosomal RNA". The stretch from base 1 to 105 matches the Rfam family "5.8S ribosomal RNA", at positions 50 to 154 of the family's 154-position model. The record is from RNAcentral.
GAAAUGCGAUAAGUAAUGUGAAUUGCAGAAUUCAGUGAAUCAUCGAAUCUUUGAACGCACCUUGCGCUCCUUGGUAUUCCUUGGAGCAUGCCUGUUUGGGUAUCAUGAAAUCUUCAAAGUAAAUCUUUUGUUAACUCAAUUGGUUUCUACUUUGGUAUUGGAGGUCUUUGCAGCUUCACACCUGCUCCUCUUUGUUCAUUAGCUGGAUCUCAGUGUUAUGCUUGGUUCCACUCGGCGUGAUAAGUUAUCUAUCGCUGAGGACACUGUAAAAGGUGGCCAAGGUAAAUGCAGAUGAACCGCUUCUAAUAGUCCAUUGACUUGGACAAUACUUUUAUGAUCUGAUCUCAAAUCAGGUAGGACUACCCGCUGAACUUAAGC